This 1374-nucleotide ribosomal RNA is filed under the name Triticum aestivum (bread wheat). Its description in RNAcentral is "partial small subunit ribosomal RNA". Lineage: Eukaryota; Viridiplantae; Streptophyta; Magnoliopsida; Poales; Poaceae. The record is from RNAcentral.
AUGCUGAUUGGAGCAGCAGAAAUUGGUGGGAUGAUGGAUAGCAGCAAGAGAAAAGGUGUCAUGCCAUCCUGUGGCGAUGCUGCCAAGAUUACAGCAGAGGUGUUCCCAAGCAACAAGAGGAAGAAGGCCGUUGUAUCUCUCUGUACACUGUUGCUUCCUGAUGCCAUGAUGUUGGAGGUGCUACUUCGGCUCCCUAUCAAAUCCAUUCUCCGCUUCCGGGCUGUCUGCCGCUCUUGGGCUGCACUCUUCUCCUCCAAGGAUUUCUGCAGCCUACGCAUGGCCAUCUCUAAGGAGCUGCCACAAGCACCAAAGCUACUCAUGCUUGUCUCGCCCACAACAGGACUGAACUCCACCGCAAUGUACUCAUGCUCGCCGUCAGGCUCCAGAGACGAUUUACUCUUCACCGUCGACACCGCACGCCGCAAUUCCAUGGGAAUAGUGACGCCCUCUCCAUGCCAUGGACUCACCCUUCUAUAUGAUGAUGCCGCGCCAGCUUACUAUGUUUGCAAUGCAGCCACACGGGCAAUCACACGUCUGCCGCCUCACUGUACUCCACCAACAUAUCGUUCCACUGCCGGACUUGGAUUUGAUGCCCGGACUAGGGAGUACAAGGUGGUGAGGUUGAUCACUGGGCGUUGCGGUGACAAGGAGAGGAACAAGUGUGAAGUGUACACGCCUGGAGCUGCUUGCUGGAGGCCGGCGGCCGGUGGAGGAGUGCCUUUCAGGUUGUACAGGUAUGCAAUUUCUGCAGCUAUACAUGGGGCGACGCAGAAAGUACCACCGGUGUUUGCCAACGGAUUACUACACUGGUUCAUCGGUCCUUCCCUUAUCGCCACAAGGACAAGAGCUCCCAUCUUAACAUUUUCCUUGACGGACGAGACCUUCGGAUGUGUCCGAUCACCCCCACCCUUCUGGACAUCAGAAGUGCACCUGCACUACGGGUCAGAAAAAGAACACCUGGUUGUGAUGGAUGACCACCUGUGCAUGGUCCGUGACCUUCGCAAUACAAUCCCUCGUGAUGGCACUUUGGAGAUCUGGAAACUGCUGGAUUAUAGCCCUGGUGAAUGGUCACUCUAUCAUCGAAUUCAUUUGUUCGGCCACGUGGGAAUAUAUUUGCUUGAUGUGAUGGCUGUGAGGGUUGUUGGACUCAUUGGCGGCUGUAGGUCAGGGAAGAAGAUAGCCAUUGCUUCUAGCAAAGACAAGUUCGCCGGCCAGUUUGAGCAGAAGCUUCACACCUAUGACCCUAGGUGUCAAGCUCUAGAGACCAUCCUCUCCAUCACCGAGACACAAACACAUACCAGGCCUGCUUCAACAUUCAGUUUAUUUGAUGAAGAGAGCCUUGUUCAAGUGCAUAGUAAACCAAUGGAUAGCUAG